GUAACAAGGUUUCCGUAGGUGAACCUGCGGAAGGAUCAUUACCGAGUGCGGGCCCUCUGGGUCCAACCUCCCAUCCGUGUCUAUCUGUACCCUGUUGCUUCGGCGUGGCCACGGCCCGCCGGAGACUAACAUUUGAACGCUGUCUGAAGUUUGCAGUCUGAGUUUUUAGUUAAACAAUCGUUAAAACUUUCAACAACGGAUCUCUUGGUUCCGGCAUCGAUGAAGAACGCAGCGAAAUGCGAUAAUUAAUGUGAAUUGCAGAAUUCAGUGAAUCAUCGAGUCUUUGAACGCCACAUUGCGCCCCCUGGUAUUCCGGGGGGCAUGCCUGUCCGAGCGUCAUUGCUGCCCUCAAGCACGGCUUGUGUGUUGGGCUUCCGUCCCUGGCAACGGGGACGGGCCCAAAAGGCAGUGGCGGCACCAUGUCUGGUCCUCGAGCGUAUGGGGCUUUGUCACCCGCUCCCGUAGGUCCAGCUGGCAGCUAGCCUCGCAACCAAUCUUUUUAACCAGGUUGACCUCGGAUCAGGUAGGGAUACCCGCUGAACUUAAGCAUAUCAAUAAGCGGAGGAAAAGAAACCAACCGGGAUUGCCUCAGUAACGGCGAGUGAAGCGGCAAGAGCUCAAAUUUGAAAUCUGGCCCCUCCGGGGUCCGAGUUGUAAUUUG
Molecule: ribosomal RNA, 661 nt
Filed under: Aspergillus glaucus
Lineage: Eukaryota; Fungi; Ascomycota; Eurotiomycetes; Eurotiales; Aspergillaceae
Description: eukaryotic LSU rRNA
Rfam family: 5.8S ribosomal RNA (bases 185-339)
Source: RNAcentral